CCUACGGGUGGCAGCAGUGAGGAAUAUUGGUCAAUGGGCGGAAGCCUGAACCAGCCAAGUAGCGUGCAGGAUGACGGCCCUACGGGUUGUAAACUGCUUUUAUACGGGAAUAACGCGCCUUACGUGUAGGGCUUUGCAUGUACCGUAUGAAUAAGGACCGGCUACUUCCGUGCCAGCAGCCGCGGUAAUACGGAAGGUCCGGGCGUUAUCCGGAUUUAUUGGGUGUAAAGGGAGCGUAGGCCGCAUGUCAAGCGUGCUGUGAAAUGUCCGGGCUCAACCCGGGCCUUGCAGUGGGAACUGGCGUGCUUGAGUCCGCGGAAAGCAGGCGGAAUU
Molecule: ribosomal RNA, 333 nt
Filed under: uncultured bacterium
Lineage: Bacteria
Description: partial 16S ribosomal RNA
Rfam family: Bacterial small subunit ribosomal RNA
Source: RNAcentral